Molecule: ribosomal RNA, 429 nt
Filed under: bacterium
Lineage: Bacteria
Description: partial 16S ribosomal RNA
Rfam family: Bacterial small subunit ribosomal RNA
Source: RNAcentral
UGGGGAAUCUUCCGCAAUGGGCGCAAGCCUGACGGAGCAACGCCGCGUGAGUGAAGAAGGUCUUCGGAUCGUAAAGCUCUGUUGAUGGGGACGAACGUGCCUAAUGCGAAUAGUAUUAGGUAAUGACGGUACCCAUCGAGGAAGCCACGGCUAACUACGUGCCAGCAGCCGCGGUAAUACGUAGGUGGCGAGCGUUGUCCGGAAUCAUUGGGCGUAAAGGGAGCGCAGGCGGGCAUGUAAGUCUUUCUUAAAAGUGCGGGGCUCAACCCCGUGAUGGGAAAGAAACUAUGUGUCUUGAGUACAGGAGAGGAAAGCGGAAUUCCCAGUGUAGCGGGGAAAUGCGUAGAUAUUGGGAGGAACACCAGUGGCGAAGGCGGCUUUCUGGACUGCAACUGACGCUGAGGCUCGAAAGCCAGGGGAGCGAACGGG